Molecule: ribosomal RNA, 1438 nt
Filed under: Lactiplantibacillus plantarum
Lineage: Bacteria; Bacillati; Bacillota; Bacilli; Lactobacillales; Lactobacillaceae
Description: bacterial SSU rRNA
Rfam family: Bacterial small subunit ribosomal RNA
Source: RNAcentral
AUGCAAGUCGAACGAACUCUGGUAUUGAUUGGUGCUUGCAUCAUGAUUUACAUUUGAGUGAGUGGCGAACUGGUGAGUAACACGUGGGAAACCUGCCCAGAAGCGGGGGAUAACACCUGGAAACAGAUGCUAAUACCGCAUAACAACUUGGACCGCAUGGUCCGAGUUUGAAAGAUGGCUUCGGCUAUCACUUUUGGAUGGUCCCGCGGCGUAUUAGCUAGAUGGUGAGGUAACGGCUCACCAUGGCAAUGAUACGUAGCCGACCUGAGAGGGUAAUCGGCCACAUUGGGACUGAGACACGGCCCAAACUCCUACGGGAGGCAGCAGUAGGGAAUCUUCCACAAUGGACGAAAGUCUGAUGGAGCAACGCCGCGUGAGUGAAGAAGGGUUUCGGCUCGUAAAACUCUGUUGUUAAAGAAGAACAUAUCUGAGAGUAACUGUUCAGGUAUUGACGGUAUUUAACCAGAAAGCCACGGCUAACUACGUGCCAGCAGCCGCGGUAAUACGUAGGUGGCAAGCGUUGUCCGGAUUUAUUGGGCGUAAAGCGAGCGCAGGCGGUUUUUUAAGUCUGAUGUGAAAGCCUUCGGCUCAACCGAAGAAGUGCAUCGGAAACUGGGAAACUUGAGUGCAGAAGAGGACAGUGGAACUCCAUGUGUAGCGGUGAAAUGCGUAGAUAUAUGGAAGAACACCAGUGGCGAAGGCGGCUGUCUGGUCUGUAACUGACGCUGAGGCUCGAAAGUAUGGGUAGCAAACAGGAUUAGAUACCCUGGUAGUCCAUACCGUAAACGAUGAAUGCUAAGUGUUGGAGGGUUUCCGCCCUUCAGUGCUGCAGCUAACGCAUUAAGCAUUCCGCCUGGGGAGUACGGCCGCAAGGCUGAAACUCAAAGGAAUUGACGGGGGCCCGCACAAGCGGUGGAGCAUGUGGUUUAAUUCGAAGCUACGCGAAGAACCUUACCAGGUCUUGACAUACUAUGCAAAUCUAAGAGAUUAGACGUUCCCUUCGGGGACAUGGAUACAGGUGGUGCAUGGUUGUCGUCAGCUCGUGUCGUGAGAUGUUGGGUUAAGUCCCGCAACGAGCGCAACCCUUAUUAUCAGUUGCCAGCAUUAAGUUGGGCACUCUGGUGAGACUGCCGGUGACAAACCGGAGGAAGGUGGGGAUGACGUCAAAUCAUCAUGCCCCUUAUGACCUGGGCUACACACGUGCUACAAUGGAUGGUACAACGAGUUGCGAACUCGCGAGAGUAAGCUAAUCUCUUAAAGCCAUUCUCAGUUCGGAUUGUAGGCUGCAACUCGCCUACAUGAAGUCGGAAUCGCUAGUAAUCGCGGAUCAGCAUGCCGCGGUGAAUACGUUCCCGGGCCUUGUACACACCGCCCGUCACACCAUGAGAGUUUGUAACACCCAAAGUCGGUGGGGUAACCUUUUAGGAACCAGCCGCCU